AGUGAACGCUGGCGGUAGGCCUAACACAUGCAAGUCGAACGGCAGCACAGUAAGAGCUUGCUCUUACGGGUGGCGAGUGGCGGACGGGUGAGGAAUACAUCGGAAUCUACUUUUUCGUGGGGGAUAACGUAGGGAAACUUACUCUAAUACCGCAUACGACCUACGGGUGAAAUCAGGGGAUCUUCGGACCUUCCUCGAUUGAAUGAGCCGAUGCCGGAUUAGCUCGUUGGCGGGGUAAAGGCCCACCAAGGCGACGAUCCGUAGCUGGUCUGAGAGGAUGUUCGGCCACCCUGGAACUGAGACACGGUCCAGACUCCUACGGGAGGCAGCAGUGGGGAAUAUUGGACAAUGGGCGCAAGCCUGAUCCAGCCAUACCGGGUGGGUGAAGAAGGCCUUCGGGUGGUAAAGCCCUUUUGUUGGGAAAGAAAAGCAGGAGGUUAAAACCCCGCUGUUCUGACGGUACCCAAAGAAUAAGCGCCGGCUAACUGCGUG
This 492-nucleotide ribosomal RNA is filed under the name uncultured bacterium. Its description in RNAcentral is "partial 16S ribosomal RNA". It matches the Rfam family "Bacterial small subunit ribosomal RNA", at positions 29 to 507 of the family's 1533-position model. The record is from RNAcentral.